GAUGAACGCUGGCGGCGUGCCUAAUACAUGCAAGUCGAGCGUACAGAUGAGAAGCUUGCUUCUCUGAUGUUAGCGGCGGACGGGUGAGUAACACGUGGGUAACCUACCUAUAAGACUGGGAUAGCUCCGGGAAACCGGGGCUAAUACCGGAUAAUAUUUUGAACCGCAUGGUUCGAUAGUGAAAGACGGUUUCGGCUGUCACUUAUAGAUGGACCCGCGCCGUAUUAGCUAGUUGGUAAGGUAACGGCUUACCAAGGCGACGAUACGUAGCCGACCUGAGAGGGUGAUCGGCCACACUGGAACUGAGACACGGUCCAGACUCCUACGGGAGGCAGCAGUAGGGAAUCUUCCGCAAUGGGCGAAAGCCUGACGGAGCAACGCCGCGUGAGUGAUGAAGGUCUUCGGAUCGUAAAACUCUGUUGUUAGGGAAGAACAAAUUUGUUAGUAACUGAACAAGUCUUGACGGUACCUAACCAGAAAGCCACGGCUAACUACGUGCCAGCAGCCGCGGUAA
Molecule: ribosomal RNA, 514 nt
Filed under: uncultured bacterium
Lineage: Bacteria
Description: partial 16S ribosomal RNA
Rfam family: Bacterial small subunit ribosomal RNA
Source: RNAcentral